CCUACGGGAGGCAGCAGUGAGGAAUAUUGGUCAAUGGCCGAGAGGCUGAACCAGCCAAGUCGCGUGAGGGAAGACGGCCCUACGGGUUGUAAACCUCUUUUGUCGGGGAGUAAAGCGAGUCACGUGUGACUCAUUGAGAGUACCCGAAGAAAAGGCAUCGGCUAACUCCGUGCCAGCAGCCGCGGUAAUACGGAGGAUGCGAGCGUUAUCCGGAUUUAUUGGGUUUAAAGGGUGCGCAGGGGGAGGUGAAAGUCAGCGGUAAAAUUGUGGGGCUCAACCCCAUACUGCAGUUGAAACUGCAAGCCUUGAGUGCAGUAGAGGUAGGCGGAAUUCGUGGUGUAGCGGUGAAAUGCUUAGAUAUGACGAAGAACCCCGAUUGCGAAGGCAGCUUGCUGCACCGGAACUGACGCUGAGGCUCGAAAGCGCGGGUAUCGAACAGGAUUAGAUACCCGUGUAGUC
RNAcentral lists this ribosomal RNA (459 nucleotides) under uncultured bacterium. RNAcentral describes it as "partial 16S ribosomal RNA". It matches the Rfam family "Bacterial small subunit ribosomal RNA", at positions 338 to 795 of the family's 1533-position model. The record is from RNAcentral.